This 8255-nucleotide long non-coding RNA is filed under the name Populus tremula. RNAcentral describes it as "long non-coding RNA (PTRE_LNC000619)". Lineage: Eukaryota; Viridiplantae; Streptophyta; Magnoliopsida; Malpighiales; Salicaceae. The record is from RNAcentral.
GAAGAUCUGUGAAGGCGUUCCUCCUGGCGAAACUGGAAUUCCUUCUACCCUUUGCUUUCCUGCCCUCUGCUUCUUCUUCUCUCGGUAGUUCGUCUCCCCUCUACUUCUGGUUGUCCGUUCGUUCUCCCCUGUGUUUUUUCCGUUCUCUAUGUGCUGCGUGUGUUUUGUUCUCGGUUUUCUCCCUGCUUCAUCCCCCACUGAUUUUCGUUUCCAUCCCCUCUGUUGCUGGUCUGUUCGUCCUGGGUUUUUUUUUGGGUUCCCGUUUUAUGCUGGGUUUUUCUUCCCCUGGUGUCCUUGCCUCUUUGGUGUUUUUUUUCGUUUCUGGUAUUUUGCUCUCUUUCUCUCCCCUCCCGUCAACCUGGUUUCGGUUCCCUUUUUAUAGAGCUCGAGAGCUUCCCCCCUAAAUCAAUCCCAUCUUUGCAGGACUGUUAUUCAAAUCACGAGAGGGAUUAUGCGCAAGAGACGUGGUCCACGAUUGGAUCAAAUUUGUUGCAGAUCUUCAGCCUUUUGAACCGCGAUGGAGACGACGAACACAGCUGUUCCCAGCAACGGCGACGUUUUCAAGCAACCCGUGGACAUUUUCAAUUUGACACCUGAACUUUGGAAAUUUCGCAAUUGGACCCCUAAGCAAAUAAAAAUUUCUUUCAAUUUUGCCCUUUUUGGAUAAAUUUCAAUUAAGUCCCUGAAUUUAUUUAAUUAAUUAAAUCAAAGUUUUAAUUAAGUCCACAAACUUAUUAAUUCUUCUAAUUUCAUUAAUUAAACUAAUCUAAACUUUAAGUAAAUUUCCAAACUUAUUAAUUCUUCAAUUUCUGACCAAUUUAUUCUCAAAUCUCAUAAUUUUAUCCCUAAAUUUCAAAAUUUGUUGUCUUAACCCCAUUGUCAACUAUAUUUUAUUAUUUGUUCAAAAAUUGGGUUAUGACAGUUGCCCCCUCUUUAUAAUAUUUACAAUACCAAGAUAUUGGAAAAUUUCAUUUUCCUUAGCUUUGUAUAGUAAAUUUAUAAAGAAAAGUAGAUACGGAAAAGGAGUCUUGAAAACUUUGAAAACAGUCGAUUGACAUAUAACUUUUUACAGAGAGAACAAGUCAUUUGGAAGACAGCUUAUUUAUUUUUUUUAUUUUUUUAUUGUUUUUUUUUUGUGAUGGUAUAUUGUAAUGGGUUACCGGCCCAGAUGGUCACAUUAUAAUGGGUUACCUGCCCAGUAUAGGAUGGUAUAUUGUGAUGGGUUACUGGCCCAAAUGGUCACAUUGUAAUGGGUUACCUGCCCAGUAUAGGAUGGUAUAUUAUAAUGGGUUACCGACCCAAAUGGUCACAUUGUAAUGGGUUACCUGCCUAGUUGGUAUGUUGUAAUGGGUUACCUGCCUAGUUGGUAUGUUGUAAUGGGUUACCUGCCCAGUAUAGGAUGGUAUAUUGUAAUGGGUUACCGACCCAGUUGGUAAAUUGUAAUGGGUUACCAGCCCAGGUGGUCACAUUGUAAAGGGUUACCUGCCCAGUUGGUCACAUUGUAAAGGGUUACCUGCCCAGUUGGUAUAUUGUAACGGGUUACCAGCCCAGAUGGUCACAUUGUAAUGGGUUACCUGCCCAAUUGGUAUGUUGUAAUGGGUUACCUGCCCAGUUGGUCACAUUGUAAUGGGUUACCUGCCCAGUUGGUAUGUUGUAAUGGGUUACCAGCCCAGAUGGUCACAUUGUAAUGGGUUACCUGCCCAGUUGGUCACAUUGUAAUGGGUUACCUGCCCAGUUGGUAAAAUACAAGGAAUUUUUUUAUUUUUUUUUAAUAAGACGAGGGCUCGAAGGCGCGCUCGAAUGUAGAUAAGACGAGGGCUCGAAGGCGCGCUCGAAUGGAGGUAGGAUAGAAAAUGCACUACCUUUGAUGGUCGAGGGCUCGAAGGCGCGCUCGAAUGGAGGUAGGAUAGAAAAUGCACUACCUAUGAUGGUCGAGGGCUCGAAGUCGCGCUCGAAAAGAACUCAGACGAGGGCUCGAAGGGGCGCUCGAAUGGAGGUAAGACGAGGGCUCUAAGGCGCGCUCGAAUGGAGGUAGGAUAGAAAAUAAACUACCUUUGAUGGUUGAGGGCUCGAAGACGCGCUCGAAAAUAAAUAAGACGAGGGCUCGAAGGCGCGCUCGAAAAUAAAUAAGACGAGGGCUCGAAGGCGCGCUCGAAUGUAAGACGAGGGCUCGAAGGCGCGCUCGAAUGGAGGUAGGAUAGAAAAUGCACUACCUUUGAUGGUCGAGGGCUCAAAGGCGCUCUCGAAAAUAAAUAAAACGAGGGUUCGAAGGCGCGCUCGAAUGGAGGUAGGAUAGAAAAUGCACUACCUUUGAUGGUCGAGGGCUCGAAGGCGCGCUCGAAAAUAAAUAAGACGAGGGCUCGAAGGCGCGCUCAAAUGGAGGUAGGAUAGAAAAUGCACUACCUUUGAUGGUCGAGGGCUCGAAGGCACGCUCGAAAAUAAAUAAGACGAGGGCUCGAAUGCGCGCUCGAAUGUAAGACGAGGGCUCGAAGACGCGCUCGAAUAGAGGUAGGAUAGAAAAUGCACUACCUCAGGUGUGGAAACUGAAAGGUGGUGAAAAAAUACAUAGAUUUUUCUGGUGGCCUAAUUCUCAUGGGCGACCUGCCUAGGUUGAACAAUUCUCAAAAAUGAAAAAUUUUCAACAGCAAUUUUGAUCUUUGGCCAUUUCAAGUUGGCCUUCCACUUGAUGGAUUCUGUUUGAAUUUUUUUCUAAUGCAGAAAUCAUUGCUCAAUGUCUCAAAGUUUAGAUGAUAUGCAUGCAUCUUUACCUGAUUUGAAAUAUAGGCCCCCAUUUCUUCACAAUCUUCUUGUUGAUUAGUUGGUGAGAUCUGAUUUAAGUCAUCUUUGUCGCUUGACUUCCAACCCACUCGAGUUGGCCCAUGUAAGUCUACUUCCAAAUUUGUUUUCAUAACUCAGCAUUUGUGGUGCCCAUCGUGACCCACUUGCUUGCUAAAGAUUUUCUGAUUCGUCAAAUAAUUUGAGAGGAUUAUUCAUUACCCCUCGUCUCACUACUAAAAACAUUCGGUAUCACUUGCUAAAAGGAUCGAGCUGUCUUUUGUAAACCAAAAUGCCCCCUUAUCUUGUUGUAAUGGAUGAUAGGUUUUCCUUCAACACAAUGUUGUCCCCUUGUACUGGUCAUUGACCCCAAGUGUGCUAUGUUACUGGCUUAGAUGAAUAAUGAUUGUAAGAGGUCAUUCUCUCUUUUGGUGAAGGAAUAUGAGUCUAGAAUGAAUCUUGAAAUCUUGAUCUUGCAUUUUGAAAACAAAAAUUAUUUCGAUGUGAGUCUAAAAUAAUUUGCUUUUGAAAUCUUGCAACUCCUUGGUUAUUUUCUUUCUUGGAAAAGAGAUUAUUUGCUCUUGUGUUUGGUAAUGAGGUCUUCGGUGAAAAUAUAUCAUGAGAUGACCUUUUGUUUCGAAGUGAAGGGCUCGAGAAAAAGCUCGAGGUUUUGUAAGAGAAAAACUUGUCUCUUUUUGAACAUUUAUUUUUAUCAGCAUGAAUAAUAAUGAGUAGUUUAUUCUUGAUGUCAUGAAUCUUAUGAAAAAGUAUCUUUGCAUUUUGAGAGCAUUGUUUAUUGUUCUAGGUUGCUUGCUUGCUUGAUUAGAAAGGACUUUUACAGGCACGUAACGUAGGCUGUAGUUUUCGGCUAUGAAAGAAAAGGAUAUAAAGCUCAAAGAGUGUUUCAGGGUUUCAAAGACUGAAGAUCACGAUCAAUAGUUUGACUUUUGGCGUCAUUCAUGUUAUCUUUUGCCGCUCUUCUUUGAUUUGCCCCUUUUUUUUUUUUCAUUGCUUUGCUAGAGCAUACUCAUUUUAUCUUGGUUAUCACUUUUUCUUGUGAUUUGGGCAUGCCCCCUAGCAUUUGAGUUUCUUGGGCUCUUUUGCCUUUUGGCUUUCUCACGGCUUUAUCCUCUUUCUUGAUCAUUGAAAUUUCACUUGCCCCUUUUUUUUUUGAUGUGGGCAUGAUCCCUAGCAUUUGUGUUUCUUGGGCUCUUUUGCCUUUUGGCUUUCUCACGGCUUUAUCAUCCUUCUUGAUCAUUGAAAUUUCACUUGCCCCAGUGUAGGGUGUGAUCUUAGUCGGGAUUUUUUAUGAAAGAAAAAUUAUUCAGGCUCAAAAAGGGUUUGCAAGGGAUGUACUUAUUUUAGAACGUGAAAGGAAUAACAAAGAUGGCCUUUCCUCAUUUCAAGCGCAAGCAGCUAUGAUCAAUAAACUUUGACCUCGUAUAGUGUGAUGGUUUAUUCUUUGCAAAGAUGCAUUUCAUGAGUUAUGAGCAACAAGUUCACUACAUACCAUUAUUCAUACAUUUAAAAACACAUGAUUCAAGAGUAAUGGGGUAAGGGUGUUUAUUCUUUUUUUUUCACAAUUGUUUUUAUAAUUUAGUCACCUCAAUGAUGGAGUUGCUUGAUUCACUUGUCAUUCUACAAGUAGAAUGUCAAAAAUAUCGUUUUUGAAUAAACAUCAAAUUAUUUUUUGAAAUCAAAAUGCCAGAUCAAUUUUUUUUCAAAACUCCAAUAGGGAAACUGAUUUUUGGUAAAAGAGAUGAAUUGCGUCUAUGAGAUCGCACAAGGCUUCAAAGAUGUGUUUGUGAAUCUUUAUAAGAAAACUCUCUCAGAAAAAUGAAUAAUGCUAAUCGUAAACACGAUUGAAUGACAAACUCAUUAUUUUCAUUGAAACUUUAGAAAAUAAGUUCAACAAGAAAGAACUUAUGACAACAUCUUGGGCUAUGAAUACUGGCAUGAUAACAUAUAAAGGGGCUAAACAUUUAGCGAUCAUUGAUUGGAAUUUCUGGAAUAUUUCAAUCAUUCAUUCUCCUCGACAAGGGCAUCUUUUCAACAGUCAAUUGAAAUCAAAUGUAGAUCAUUCUCGACCUAAUAUCACCAUAGCUUUAUCUUCAAGAUAGUUGAUUUCUAGGAGUCGAUGUGAAGCAAUUAGCUAUAGAAAUGAUAAGUGCCUUGGCAACCACCUUCAGUGAAACCGUUCUUCUCAGUCGGGUUAGCAAUCUUACCUAACCCAAUGGCUUGUUCAAUCCUCUCAGCUAUAACAACCAGGUCAGUGAAAUGUUGUGCAGAGCUUCUAACCAAGUAUUCAAAGUACGGAGCUUUAAAGGUGUCGGAAAAUAAAUUGAUCAUCUCUUUUUCCAACAUGGGAGGGUUAACUUGUGCAGCUAACUCACUCCAUCUCCGGGCGUAUUCUCUUAUGGACUCCUUGUUGUCCUUCUCCAUAGCUUGCAAGCUUAAACGAUCAGGGCCCACGUCUAUAUUGAACUUAUAUUGCCUCAUGAAGGCAUCAACUAAAUCCUUCCAUUUUUUAACCUUGGUAUUGUCCAACCGCAUAUACCAAGUGAGGGCAACAUUACUCAGACUGUCUUGAAAUAAAUGAAUCAGCAGUUUCUCAUCAUGAACCACCUCAGCCAUUUUGUUGCAGUAUGCUUUGAGAUGAUAGGGCAUUGAGUUCCCGUAUAUUUAACAAAUUCUGGCACUCUAAAUUUUUUUUGGAAUGACCACGUUGGGCAUCAAACACAUCUCAACAGCCUUUAUAGGAUCAUAUAGGUGAAUUCCCUCAAAUGCCCUCAUCCUUUGUUCUAGGGCAAUGAAUUUGUUCAGCUCAUCUUCUUUUACCAUUUUGCUCUUUUGAGAUUCAUUCUUUGUAGAAUCAAUAGUAAACGACAUUCUCGUGAGGUAUGCUGGAUGAAAAUGCAUGGCUUGUUGAAAAUCAGAUGAAGGGAUUUACACGCAUAGGUUCAGGCUGAGCUAUAAGUGUUGCUUUUCCGGAUUUAUCUCUCAAGGACUGCUCGAGUAGACUAGUAAGCCUUGCGACUUCUUCUUUAAGAUUGUCCACCUCUUUUUGAUGUUGGGCUUCCAACUAGGCUCUUUCUUCAUCUUCCAUUUGUCUUUUUCUCGAAUGGGCUUCAAUGGGGAGCCUAUAUUUUAACCUGCUAUAUGUAAAUCUUGCAAUUAUGCAAAAAUGUUGAUUCAAUUAAAAAUGCUAUGGAAUGCAGACACGUCCUUCACGGGAUGACAACCUAAUAGGAAGAUCCUAAUUGUUGAGUGCAUCAAAGGGUUGGUCAUUAUCUAGUUUCAAAGGGUCUCUCGCAUGCUCAGUGAUCGUCCAUGAAAGGUCGAUAUGAGGCUUACAAGUAGUGUGAAAAUAGAGGCCCUGAGUAAUAUCAGUUUGGCAUAUCAACCACUUCCAAGUAAACAAUCAAGCGAGAGUUGGAUGGUUUCACGAGUCUUACCCAGGCUAAAGCCAUUGGGGUACCGUUACUUUCCCACUUAUCCUAGAUUUUCAGGUGUGUGCUCUCAACGUGAUGCAUGACAAUAUAAACAUGGAUGCAUGCUAAAGCAGUAAAUUCAAGAAAAAUAAACAAAUAAACAUAACAUAAAAAACAUUAUAACAAUUGAUAAACAAAAGGCAAAGCUUAGUCCAUUAGUCCCCAGUGGAGUCGCCAUUCUGUCGCACCCGACAUCGCGGCGGCCUUAAAAAUUAAUUAAUCUUUGGAAAGAACGGAUUUCUGGCAUCCUGUUCUUUAAUGUGGAUAUUCUUGUUUAAGGAGUCGCCACCUAGUAUUAUGGUCACUAGGAACCCUAACUGGUCAACAGAGAUUCUAUGGUUCGGGACUGGUUACGUAAAAGGGAAGAUAUUAUCACCCCUUAAACGUCCUGCCUGAGGCAGGCUGCAUUGCUAGUUUCGUCUUAAAUUGCUAAAUGUUUAUUUUUUGUUAUGAAAAUUUGCUUAUAAUAUUCCUGACUCUGGCGCAGUGAAUAUUAACUACGAAUAAUUUCCAACUCUGGCGUUGAUAAAUAUUACGUAGCUUAAAAUAAAUUUAAAUCAAUAUUUUUUAUUCCCGACGUAGCUAAAAAAAAUAAAUGUAAAUCAAAUGGUUUUUUUUUUAUUCCCGACUCUGGCGCCAGUGAAUAAAUAAAUAAUACUACAUUCAUUUUUACGCAUGCAUAUAUUUUUUAUUUUUCUAGCUAAAAUAAAAUAAAAUACAACGAAUAAAAAUAAUAUAAAUUUAAACCGGUAUUCUUAUUCCUGACUCUGGCGUCAGUGAAUUAACCAAUAAAUUUACAUUAUUUUUAUUCAUCCAAAUAAAAUAAAAUACAACGAAUAAAAAUAAUAUAAAUUUAAACCGGUAUUUUUAUUCCUAACUCUGGCGUUAGUGAAUAAACCAAUAAAUUUACAUUAUUUUUAUUUAUGCAUACACAUUUUUUUUUAUUUUUUUGGGUUGGGCCCGGCCCGGCCCAGCUCAGCAUUUAUUUUUGGGCUGGGCCCAGCUCAGCCUAUAUGGGCUGGGCUAAGCCCAGCAGCCCGGCCCGGCCACUGGCCGGGCAAAAAUCAACCAGAAGCACGCGUGCUGUAUACUGUGCAAAGGUAAUUAAAAUUACCUUCGCACAGUAACAACCUUAUUGUAUCUGCGAAAACGAAAGAGAAUUCAAUGAAAACUAAAGAAAGCUUACCUGCUCUGCUGGAGUGCUGCUGUUUUGGGCGAAGAUCUGUGAAGGCGUUCCUCCUGACGAAACUGGAAUUCCUUCUACCCUUUGCUUUCCUGCCCUCUGCUUCUUCUUCUCUCGGUAGUUCGUCUCCCCUCUACUUCUGGUUGUCCGUUCGUUCUCCCCUGUGUUUUUUCCGUUAUCUAUGUGCUGCGUGUGUUUUGUUCUCGGUGUUUCUGUCUUUUUUGUUCGCUUCUCCUAGACUUCCUCUUCGUUUUCUGGGUUUUCUCCCUGCUUCAUCCCCCACUGAUUUUCGUUUCCAUCCCCUCUGUUGCUGGUCUGUUCGUCCUGGGUUUUUUCUGGGUUCCCGUUUUAUGUUGGGUUUUUCUUCCCCUGGUGUCCUUGCCUCUUCGGUGUUUUUUUUCGUUUCUGGUAUUUUGCUCUCUUUCUCUCCCCUCCUGUCAACCUGGUUUCGGUUCCCUUUUUAUAGAGCUCGAGAGCUGCCCCCCUAAAUCAAUCCCAUCUUUGCAGGACUGUUAUUCAAAUCACGAGAGGGAUCAUGGGCAAGAGACGUGGUCCACGAUCGGAUCAAAUUUGUUGCAGAUCUUCAGCCUUUUGAACCGGGAUGGAGACGACGAACACAGCUGUUCCCAGCAACGACGACGUUUUCAAGCAACCCGUGGACAUUUUCAAUUUGACCCCUGAACUUUGGAAAUUUCGCAAUUGGACCCCUAAGCAAAUAAAAAUUUCUUUCAAUUUUGCCCUUUUUGGAUAAAUUUCAAUUAAGUCCCUGAAUUUAUUUAAUUAAUUAAAUCAAAGUUUUAAUUAAG